RNAcentral lists this ribosomal RNA (465 nucleotides) under uncultured bacterium. RNAcentral's name for it is "partial 16S ribosomal RNA". It matches the Rfam family "Bacterial small subunit ribosomal RNA", at positions 28 to 507 of the family's 1533-position model. The record is from RNAcentral.
GACGAACGCUGGCGGCGUGCUUAACACAUGCAAGUCGAACGGAAAGGCCCCUUUGUGGGUACUCGAGUGGCGAACGGGGGCGUAACACGUGCGUAACCUGCCCUUGACUUCGGGAUAACUUCAGGUAACUGGGGCCAAUACCGGAAAGGAAUCCUUGCUGCAUGGUGGGGGUUGGAAAGCUUCGGGGGGUUUGGAUGGACUCGCUGCUUAUCAGCUUGCUGGGGGAGUAGUGGCUUACCAAGGCGUUGUCGGGUAGCCGGACUGAGGGGGCGACCGGCCACAGUGGGACUGAGAUACGGCCCAGACACCGACGGGAGUGAGAAGGGGGGAAGAUUGACCGAGGGGCGGAAGCCGGAUGCAGCAACGCCGCGUGCGGGAUGACGGCCUUCGGGUUGUAAACCGCUUUCAGCAGGAGCUAAGCUUGUGGUGACGGUACCUGCAGAAGAAGCACCGGCUAACUACGUG